Python bivittatus (Burmese python) is the source of this 659-nucleotide long non-coding RNA. RefSeq lists it as uncharacterized. The record is from RefSeq and is a predicted model, not a curated record. NCBI's taxonomy places the organism in Eukaryota, Metazoa, Chordata, Lepidosauria, Squamata, Pythonidae.
AGAGGAGGAACCCAGCCUUAAUUUCCAGUGAUGGAGCAGAGGAUCGAGUCAGCUGUUGCUCCAGAAGAGGCUGAAUUAAGGUAUGGCUGAAAAACAAAAAGGUGCACCUAUGGCUGGCUUCCCCAGGUAAAAAGGUCUGAAGGAGCAGAGAGGAAGAAGCAUCGAGCUGAGGAGGCAACCAGAGAACAGAUGCCUGUUAGCUACAAGUAACAGAAGUACCAAAGACCACAGGAAGACCUUAGGUUUCCUGGAGCAAAGUGUGUCUCAGAUAGAAAAUAUCAUAUACAACAUAUUUCUUGGAAAACUACACUGGAAGCACAUGUUUCUUCUCACAGCCGCCAACCGUUCUCCUUGCUUCCCCACAACCCCACCAAUUAUAUCUCGCGUGCUGCUUCCUCCUGCAGCCCCGAGGAGACCGGCUCCGCUCAAAGCCCUCCUUCAGAACCCCACGGUUUGGAAGCAGACGCGUGCCCUGCCCUCCCCGGCACCUGCAAAGGCUCCAGCUCUCGUUCAUCUGCAGCUUAUUUCAGGCUCGAGGUUUAGGUGUGUGCACAUGCAAAUCUUUUUUCCUUCUGUUAUUAUAUACUUGUGGAAGAACAGCUUCUUAUUUGCUUAAAUAAUCCUUGCAUUUGAUUAUUGUUUUCUUUUUAAUUGCUGUA